GACGAACGCUGGCGGCGUGCUUAACACAUGCAAGUCGAACGGACAGGCCCUGCUUUUGUGGGUUGCUCGAGUGGCGAACGGGUGAGUAACACACGAGUAUCCUCCCCUUGACUUUGUGGUAACUUCAGGAAACUGGGGCUCAUACCCCGUAGGAGCUCCUGCUGCAUAGUGGGGGUUGGUGAGUUUCGGCGGUUGGGGAUGGUCUGGCGGCUUAGGAGCUGGGUGGGGGGGUAGUGGCUUACCAAGGCUUUGACGGCUAGCCGGCCUGGGAGGGGGACCGGCCACAUGGGGACUGAGAGACGGCCCAGAAGCCUACGGGAGGCAGUAGGGGGGAAUAUGGCGGAACGGGGGGAAGCGUGAGGCAGAAACGCCGGGUGCGGGAUGACGGCUUUCGGGGUGUAAACAGCUGUGGCCUGUGACGUAGCGGGAGUGACGGUAAUGGGUAAAGAAGCACCGGCUAACUACGUG
RNAcentral lists this ribosomal RNA (468 nucleotides) under uncultured bacterium. RNAcentral describes it as "partial 16S ribosomal RNA". It matches the Rfam family "Bacterial small subunit ribosomal RNA", at positions 28 to 507 of the family's 1533-position model. The record is from RNAcentral.